Molecule: RNA transcript, 6834 nt
Organism: Drosophila montana
Lineage: Eukaryota; Metazoa; Arthropoda; Insecta; Diptera; Drosophilidae
Gene: mub
Gene name: poly(rC)-binding protein mub
Exons: 12
Source: RefSeq, a predicted model, not a curated record
AAAAUUUAAUGGUGGUGUACGGUUCGUUCAGCUCGCAACGCGUCGCAACGUCUCGAUUUGUUGGUCAGUGAAAAAUUAUAGAAAAUUCAGAAUAUAACUUAAACCCGAUUUAAUUGUAUUAUGCAAAGAAAUUGUUGUCGCGCGGCGUGAAUUACACAGUGACAAAAUACAAGCAACAAGCAAUACAACUAAAUUUAAUAUAUAAAAAAACAAGCAAAAAACCAAAAAAACAAAAAAAAGCGCGUCGCGUCUAAAAUUGCAAAUUGCAAUACAAGUCUGAAACGUGAAGCCGAAAAGGAAGAGAGCAGUGUACAAACAGUAAUUGGAAAGCAAAAAAAAAGCGGCAAAAACACAAAUCACAAAAGAAAACAACAAAACAUACUUAUACAACAACAACUACAAUUGAGAAAAAAACUGCAAAAUCUAAAUACAAACGCUAAGCAACAGUAUUUUUGCUCAACAUUAAAAUAAUACUAAGUAUACCUAAAUACAUAAUAAUUCGAUGCAAAAUCUAUAGCAGUCAUUAAAUGUUGCAUUUUUAAGCGGAAGAAAAACCAAAAAAGAAGAAAAACAUAAGCAUAAAUCACAAGAGACGAAGAUUUCAAGAACGCAGCGAGCUUAAGCCAACAAAAAAAGAAGAAAAAAAUAUAUUAAAAAACGUAGUACGACUAGUAAAAGACACCACCAAUUUAAUUUGCAAGGAAACUAAAACAAAAUACAAAAAAAAAAAAAACGUAAAUAAAAACUAAUAAAUUAGCCAAAAAUCUAAUAGAUGUCUGUGUGCAUUAUAUUUUGAUCAUAUAUGAACAAUAUAUUGUACUAUAUAGCAUAAAACAAGUAUAUUUACAACAUUAGCUAUAAAACGCAGCUAAAAGACAAACAGUUAAAAGAAAGAAGAAAAAUAUAAACGACCGCCAUUCGGUCAACAAUUUGAAGAUAAUAUCAAUAUAAAAGACAGCAUAAUAUAAAAAGAAAACACAAACAAACAAACAAACAAAAAAUGGAGGACAAUAACACAAGCAGCAGUGCGAGCGGUGCGCCCAUCAAACUUGAGGAUCCAUCGGUGACACUCACAAUAAGGCUGAUUAUGCAAGGAAAGGAAGUUGGUAGUAUUAUUGGUAAAAAGGGUGAAAUUGUCAACAGAUUUCGCGAAGAGUCUGGUGCCAAAAUUAACAUUUCGGAUGGUUCAUGUCCGGAACGCAUUGUAACGGUAUCUGGCACAACAAACGCAAUCUUCUCGGCAUUUACGCUAAUUACAAAGAAAUUCGAAGAGUGGUGCUCGCAGUUCAAUGAUGUUGGCAAAGUUGGUAAAACUCAAAUACCCAUUCGAUUGAUUGUGCCCGCCAGUCAAUGUGGAUCGUUAAUUGGCAAGAGCGGCUCAAAGAUAAAGGAAAUACGCCAAACCACGGGCUGCUCCAUACAGGUGGCCAGCGAAAUGUUGCCAAACUCCACGGAGCGUGCGGUUACUUUGAGCGGCAGCGCUGAGCAGAUAACCCAAUGCAUCUAUCAGAUAUGUCUUGUCAUGUUGGAGUCCCCGCCACGCGGUGCUACCAUACCGUAUCGACCAAAGCCGCAAGUAACUGGCCCAGUUAUCUUGGCCAAUGGACAGGCCUUUACCAUACAGGGCAACUAUGCGGUGCCCACACAAGAGACUUGUCCAGUAUUUCCACUUGCUUUGGCUACCGGUGGUCUACAUGCUGGUAUUUCAGGCUUAGCGGAUCCUUUAUUAAAGGGGGCACAUUUACAAGGAGCGGUACCAGCACACCACCAUCACCUACAGCAAAUGCCCGAUGUUGCCAAGAAUCCAUUGGCCAGUUUGGCUGCCUUGGGCCUGGCCGGCAUGACGCCAGCCAGCACCGGCGGUAUAAAUCACACAGCUCUGGCUGCCUUGGCUGGUUCGCAGCUGCGUACGGCCAAUGCGAAUCGGGCACAGCAACAGCAGCACGAGAUGACAGUUUCAAAUGAUUUGAUUGGCUGCAUCAUUGGCAAGGGCGGUACCAAAAUUGCCGAAAUACGUCAGAUCUCCGGCGCCAUGAUACGCAUCUCGAAUUGCGAGGAGCGCGAGGGCGGCAAUACCGAUCGCACCAUCACCAUAAGCGGCAAUCCAGAUUCGGUGGCAUUGGCCCAAUACUUAAUCAAUAUGAGAAUAUCAAUGGAGACCGCUGGACUGCCCAUACCCGGCUAUCACUAUAUCGCGCCCAGUGCAAUUGUUAAAACGCCCAUACACUAAGUGCAACGCAACUACAACAAAUAACAACAACAACAACAACAACAACAACAAACAAAUAAAUAAUACAAGCAAAAAGCAAAUCGAAUGGAGCCGAGAAACUGUCGCAAUUGACAACUGACAGCUGACAGUGGAAGCGGCAAUUUCAAUAAGCAAUAAGAUAAAAAACAUAAACAUAAAAAACACAGUAAACAAAUCAUAUGACAAGGUCAAAUCACAUGAAGAAGAAGGAGCAUAAAGCAUCAGAUGUCAUACACAGAAACACAGCUCCCACACAAACACACAUCCACACACACACACAUCCACACACACACGCAUCCACGCCCAUACAAACAUACUGAAGGACAAAAUUAAUUCAUUUUAUUGAUUAAACUACAUAUAAAAAAAAAAACUAUUGAAUAAUUAAAUAAUUAAAUUAAAUUAAAUUAAAUUUAAUACAACUUGAUUUUCAAUUUUCGAAAUUAGUUAUAAUUUGUUGAACGCGAAAGAAAACAAAAACUGAUCGUAACCUUUGAAGCCAAAUUUAUAUAUUUGUUAGACAACGCUGUUUUUUUUUAUUAUUAUUAUUUUUUGGUUUUUAGCGAAAACGUUAAAUUAAGUGUCCAAAUUUAAAUUACAAUAAUAAUGCUUAAGCACAUUUGCGGCGAUUAAAAAGACUUUUUCUGCUAAAUGAGAAAAUGAGAAAAAUGGAUUUAAUUUUAUUAAUAUUGCAAUUAUGCUUAAAUUAAAGUAUAAUUUUAUUUUAUUAGCUGUUAAAUUUAUACGCAAAACAACAAAACAUCAAAAAUAAACUGAUUUUCAAUGUUAAACUUACUUAAAUUAAUUUUUUUUAAAGUUUAGUUCUCUAGGCUGGGCACUAAAAAGCAAAAAAAAAAAGAAAGGAAAACAAUUAACUGUGGCUUCUUAAACAAAAAUUAGUUAAUAAUUGUAAGCCACAAAAAUAACAAUGCACACACACACACACACACACACACUAACACACAUGCAAAGGCAUAUUGAAUAUUAAUAACAAUUUAUAUGUGUGUGUUAGUUUAGCCUGUAGCCGAGACAUCAAUCCGUAAGCUAGUUAAAAAGUUUGUUGCAAAUACUUUGUGAGUCGGCAGCUCGACCGCGAGCUCUCCGCCCACAGGCGACAAUAUGUGUCAAAUUUUGAUUAUACAAAUUAAAUUAAUGCAUAAGAAACAUACAUACAAAAAUACAAAAUUAAUAUAAAUAAAUACAAAAAAAUACCCAUACAUAUCCACAUCAAAAAUAAACCAAUUCAAAUUCAAACAAAUUAAUAUAAUCAUCAGCAAAUGAAAUUAUUCAAACUACAAAACAUAUAAUGGCAAACAUAUCCCAAAAAUACACAUAUAUUAUUUAAUUGACAAUUAACAAAAGAAUUCAUUUCUGCAACAAUUCUAUGAGAACAAUUUGUGGGCUAAUGGAAUUUAAAUUCAAAGAUUUCAUUCAUUCAAUUAUUUUGCAAAGUGGGCGAAGACAUGGAAUACUUAGCAAAAGAAGUGCAUGUCUUUCUUAUUUUCCCCUAUCUAUAUACUUGCAUAAUAAUAUUAAUAAUAACAACAACAAAAAACACUUAUGAAGCAAAACUUGAUUACAGGAAAUUGUUAAUAGCAUAAAGAAAAAAAAACAAUUAUAAUAAUGAUAAAUGCAUUAUUGUUAACUGAAACACACUCUCUACUUUUAAUUGACUAAAAACUAACAUAAAAAAUACAAAAAAAAACAAAGCAAAAAAAAUGCGGAUCAAGCAAAAUGUGUAACACAGGCAGCAAAAUAUCAAGCGAAACUAUUUCGUGAUUUUAGAGACAAAUAUUUCGCUGAUGACAAUUUGAAGCAAUCAUUUUUGAAAAAACAACAAAUAAUUAAACAAAGAAUGAACGUUAAAUGGAAGCAAAACCGUAUAUCUAUAUAUAAAUAAAUUAUAUAUCUAUAUAUAAAUAUACAUACAUAUAUAUUAAAUUAAUUAUUAUGUACACUUGUAUUUAAUUGUAUUUGAAAUAUUUAGUAAAUUUUUUGCGCAAGUUACAAACCAACUAAAUAAAACAAAAAGAAAAUCCAAAAAAAAAAACAAAAAAAAAAUCAAAACCAAAAACUUAAAUAAUAUAAUAAAAGGUCGCACGUUGACGGGUUAACUGCGGAUAGUAGCUGGGACUAAUUGUAUCAUAACAGUAAACAAAAGGGAUAAAUUAAUUAUGUGCAUGUGUGUGUAUAAGCAACUACAUUUAAAAUAGCUCAAAUACAGCAACAACAACAACAACAACAACAAUUUCAAAUGAAUUUUUACUAAUUAAUGUGUAUGUGUAUGUAAAUUAUUAAAUACAAUUUGUUGAAAACUUGUAAAUUUGCAAAGGAAAAAUACGUGUAAGAAAAGCAAUUUUAAUGGUGCCUUAAAAACCAAACCAAGCAAAUUUCUUCUUGCCCCAGAUACUCGUCAAAAAAAAAAAAUGAAUACCAAUAGCACUUGGCAUUGUGUAUAUAAUACUGGCAUGUGAGUUUUCUACCUUUCCGCAGCGUUUCUCUCAACAUUUCCUCUCAACUUUCCCUGCUUCAGCAUUGCGUGUUAAGAGGCUGGCAAUGUGAUUAAUGUAGCGUAUUUAGUUAAAUACAUAUAUAUAUAUUUACGAAUGUAUGUGAAGGGAGGAUGCAUAAGCCUUUUUCGACAUAAAGAACUUAUCCCUUUUAGAGACAUAUGACCCAAAAUUGCUCAAAGCUAUUCGAGUUUCAACAACAUCCAGUGUGUAGAGUUGCCCGUUAUAGUACUUGAAAAACAUAUAAUACAAAAGACAAAAGAAAAAAACUAAAGAAAAACAAAAAAACGUAUGAUGUAUUUACAUGGUAAAUUUAUGUAAUAAACUUAGCUGCAAGUAGUAUUCGAACAAAAUAAAAUUUAAAACACCGAAAACCCGACACAUUAUCCGGAAAUAUAAGCAAUUAGUCAGCAAAAUAACAAUAUAUACAUAUAUAAUAUACAAACACUCAGAUAAAAAAACACAAACAACACACCACAUAUAAAUGUUUCUCUCAGUGUAAUUACAAAUCACUUGAAUGUAUUUGCUCACAGUUUUACAAUACAUGUCAACAACAAAAAAAUAUAUAAAAAAUUCUACACAAUAUGUGGAUAAACAAAAGCAUUUAAGGCACUUGACAUAUGGAAUGCUGGAUAGAUGAACGGAUAUAAAAUAAUUGUUAAAAUGCAAAUAUAGGAAAAGAUAAAAAUGAAAGCAAAAGCAAACAUAUUUAUAUACAUAUACAUAAAUGAAGGAGGUAUAACAAAAUGAAAGCAGAACAGAAGCUUAUAAUUAAGGUAUUUUAGAUAUUCUUAUUUAAUAUCCAAAGAGAGAAAAGUGAACAAAUUAUACGAGAUGAAUUUUUAAUUUAGACAACAUAUGAAAGGGAAACGUGUUGGAAACCACAGCGGUAAAUUCGGGUUGAAGUGAAAAAAUUAAGAAAAUAUGCAAAUUUAUUAACUAAAUAUUGGUGUUAGAAAUUGUUAAGAAAAACCUUUAACUGAAAACUCAUGUCAUUCGCCAUAGAGCAGGCAAUACGGAAACAUACUCAAUUACACUAGCUGAAACUGGCACCUAAGCACACAUACAUUAUUCGCAAAUGUAGAGCACAUAUAUUCUAGAAAAUAUAUCGAUUAAAGGCGAGAGAUAAGAAUAGUGAUAAAUUGUAGCCAACUCAGCUUAGGUGCGCCUUUUAAUCAUUUAACAAAAUAUAGUUUUAAUUCGAAUCUAAUUUACGACUUGCUUUUAGGUUUAUUUUUUCAGGUUAUUGUUGAAAAAUAUAACCUGGGCAAUAGAUAUAUUCAAUAAUUCUUUGAUUGAUUCUUGAUAGAUUCUCUACAAAUAUCAUACUUAAUAUUACUAAGGUCUUUCGUUGGGCUUUGAGUGACAGGAUUAAUCCUUUGUCUGAUUGACUCUUUAUAGAUUUCCAAGUUAAAUCUUCUCUGUUCUACAAAACUCAUAGUUAAUACAGUUUGGGUCUCUCGAAGAGAUAGGCCUCUCAAAAGAAUCUCUCUUAAUAUUCUCUGCUCUACAAAAACCUUACAUAAUCUUGUUAAGGUCUCUCGCUGGCUUUCGAUUAACAGGAUUAAUCCUAUGUUUGAGUGCAAUUUUCAGCUAGUCUCAUUGGGCCUUGUGCUUAGCCUACGAACAUGGCUAGAUGAUAGGGAUAACAUAGUAUGGGAAAUGUUUUGAGUUCUUCGGGCAUAGAACAAUUGAUUUGUCUAUCCUGCAUAUGGUGAAUUGAGCAUUUUCUCGAUUUCCAUAUCGUUCAGUGAUUUUCAAAGCUUUGGCGCAGACAGUGCAAGCAGAUAAUAAUAAUAAUAAUAAUAAUAAUAUAAAAGAAAAACAUUUAUUCGUAUAACAUUUUGUUGCAGCAUUAUAAUGAAUGGUUCAAUGCCAAGAAGAAUAAGUAUCUACGUGUAUUCCAAUUCAUCAAAGCAAUUGAAAAAGGAAAAUAGAAGGCAUAUUGCAUAUUGCCAGUAAAUACAUAUACGAAACAGCUAAGGUUUCUCUGAAAUUAAAAUAAAAUAUUAAAUAAAAUCCAAAGAAAAAAAAAAACAAAAAAAUACAACAUAUAACCAGUAAAUUAUAUAGAGCAAA